CUGCACUUACAAGCUGUGGAAGCACAUUUCUUGUGUGACCGCGUACUUUUUGUAGAACGGGCCAACGAGUUACGUUAAGUAGCAAGGUUAAGCACUUAAGGUGCGGAGCCGUAGCGAAAGCGAGUUUUAACUGAGCGUUCAGUUACUUGACGUAGACCCGAAACCGGGCGACCUACCCAUGAGCAGGAUGAAGCGAAAGUAAAAUUUCGUGGAGGUCCGAACCCACGAGCGUUGAAAAGCUCGGGGAUGACUUGUGGGUAGCGGUGAAAUUCCAAUCGAGCCCGGAGAUAGCUGGUUCUCCCCGAAAUAGCUUUAGGGCUAGCCUCAAGGUGAGAGAUACGGAGGUAGAGCACUGAAUGUCCUAGGGGGUAUUGCACCUACCGAAGACUAUCAAACUCCGAAUGCCGUCAUCUUAUACUUGGGAGUCAGACUGUGGGUGAUAAGAUUCAUAGUCGAAAGGGCAACAGCCCAGAUCGUCAGCUAAGGUCCCUAAAUGUAAGUUAAGUGGUAAAGGAUGUGGGAUUGCACAGACAACCAGGAUGUUGGCUUAGAAGCAGCCACUCAUUCAAAGAGUGCGUAAUAGCUCACUGGUCGAGUGAUCCUGCGCCGAAGAUUUCCGGGGCUAAAACUUACUACCGAAGCUACGGCAUCAGUAAUGAUGGGUAGGGGAGCUUCCCAUACGGGUUGAAGCAUGACCGUAAGGACAUGUGGACAGUAUGGGAGUGAGAAUGUUGGCAUGAGUAGCGAGAUGUGGGUGAGAAUCCCACAGGCCGUAAACCCAAGGUUUCCAGGGGAAGGUUCGUCCGCCCUGGGUUAGUCGGGACCUAAGCUGAGGCCGAAAGGCGUAGGUGAUGGACAACAGGUUGAUAUUCCUGUACUACCGAUAACCGUUUGAGAGAUGGGAUGACACAGUAGGAUAAGCUAAGCACACUGUUGGUUAUGUGUGCCCAAGCAUUGAGGCAGUCAAAGUAGGCAAAUCCGCUUUGAUAAUGCUGGGAUGUGAUGGGGAGCGAAAUUUAGUAGCGAAGUAGCUGAUUUCACACUGUCAAGAAAAGUCUCUAUCGAGGUUAAAGGUACCCGUACCGCAAACCGACACAGGUGGGUGAGGAGAGUAUCCUAAGGCCAGCGAGAGAACUGUUGUUAAGGAACUCGGCAAAAUGACCCCGUAACUUAGGGAUAAGGGGUGCCACCAUCAGGUGGCCGCAGAGAAUAGGCCCAAGCGACUGUUUACCAAAAACAUAGGUUUCUGCUAAGUCGCAAGACGAUGUAUAGGAGCUGACGCCUGCCCGGUGCUGGAAGGUUAAGGGGAUCUGUUAGAGCAAUCGAAGCAGUGAACUUAAGCCCCAGUAAACGGCGGCCGUAACUAUAACGGUCCUAAGGUAGCGAAAUUCCUUGUCGGGUAAGUUCCGACCCGCACGAAAGGCGUAACGAUUUGGGCACUGUCUCAACAACAGACUCGGUGAAAUUGUAAUUCCGGUGAAGAUGCCGGAUACCUGCGACAGGACGGAAAGACCCCAUGGAGCUUUACUGUAGCUUGACAUUGGGUCUUGGUACUACAUGUACAGGAUAGGUG
RNAcentral lists this ribosomal RNA (1573 nucleotides) under Clostridioides difficile. RNAcentral describes it as "bacterial LSU rRNA". It matches the Rfam family "Bacterial large subunit ribosomal RNA", at positions 558 to 2149 of the family's 2925-position model. Lineage: Bacteria; Bacillati; Bacillota; Clostridia; Peptostreptococcales; Peptostreptococcaceae. The record is from RNAcentral.